UCUCGGAGCCCGAAGACACCAAUAGGGAUGGUAGAAGAGCGCCUCCACAUAGCCAUGCUCCCAUGGCUGGCCUUCGGCCACAUGAUCCCUUUCCUCCACCUCGCCGUCGCUUUGGCUACCGCCGGCCUCCGCGUCUCCUUCCUCUCCACCCCUCGAAACAUCCAACGCCUUCCCAAAAUACCCCCCCACCUAACCUCGCUCAUCACCUUCAUCCAGCUCCCCUUGCCCCGCGUCGACGGCCUCCCCGACCAAGCCGAGGCCACCGUCGACCUCCCCACCGACGAGGUCCCGCUCCUGAAGAUCGCGUACGACCUCCUCCAGAACUCCGUUAAGAAAUUCCUCGCCGAGGAAUCGCCUGACUACGUCAUCCACGACUUCCUCCAGUACUGGGCCGCCGCCGCCGCGCGAGACAUGGGCGUGCAGAGCAUCUUCUUCUCCGUCUACUCGGCCACCACCCUCGCCUUCUUCGGCCCGCCGGAGGCGUUGACGGAGGACGGCCGGAGGAAGCUCCGUCCGACUCCGGAGAGCCUGACGUCGCCGCCCGACUGGCUCCCCUCCGGCUCGACUGUGGCGUUCCGCCGCCGGGAGGCGGAGGUGUUCUACUCGGCCGCCUUCACCAUGAAUUCUUCGGGAAUCACCGAUAUCGACCGGUUCCGUUUGGUCGUUGAGUCAUGCACCGCCGUCGCCAUCCGGACCUGCCCCGAGUAUGAGGGCGAUUAUCUGGAAAUUGUCCGAAGGCUAUACCGGAAGCCAGUGAUCCCCGUCGGCCUGAUCUUACCGUCCCCACCGGCGGCCGGCGGCGAAGAGGGGGACGAUAGGUGGGCCCGGGUAUUCAGGUGGCUCGACUCCCAGACCCCGAAGUCGGUAGUGUUCGUCAGCUUUGGAAGCGAGUACAAGAUGGAGAGACGUGAACUCCAUGAGCUGGCCCAUGGCCUCGAGCUCGCCAACGUGCCUUUCUUGUGGGUCCUACGGAGGCCUUCUUGGUGCAAUGGCAGUGAUGAAGAGGCGCUUCCAGCAGGGUUCAUAGACCGGACGAAGAGCCGUGGGACUCUGUGCUUUGGUUGGGCUCCUCAGCUUGAGAUCUUGGCCCAUCCUUCCGUAGGAGGAUCUCUGUUUCACUCUGGAUGGGGAUCUAUUAUAGAGACUCUUCGCCAUGGGCAUACAUUGGUUGUCCUGCCGUGUAUGGUUGAUCAGAGUCUUAACGCCAGGUUGUUAGUGGAGAAGGGCAUUGCAGUCGAGGUGGAGCGACAGGAUGAUGGUUCCUUCACUAGGGAUGGGAUCGUGAAGGCUUUGGAUGUGGCGAUGGUUUCUGGCCAAGGGGAGGAGUUGAGAACAAAGACGAGAGAGAUGGCAACUCUAUUUGCUGAUCAAGAGCUUGAUGACAAGUAUGUAAGGGAAUUUGUUGACUACCUCCUUAAGGCAGUUGACGCCAACUAGUAAAUCAGGGACCUCACUUUCUUCCAGGGAACAAAAAAAAGAUAAAUAAAUAAAACAUGAGUGCUUGGAGCUAUAUAUUGCCGCUGCCUCCACUCCAAAUUCCAUGUAUUGAAAUUAAAUGAGCAAAUGCAGUACAGCUUUCGAUGGUUGCUAUUAGAAGAUGGGUAGAACUUCCGCAAGGAUGGAUUACAUCAUAAACGGUGUAUAUUAUUUGAUGGCCGUCCAUCUUUUAAUAAUGGCUAGUGAGGGCUGUACAGAACUUUCCGAUGUCAUUUGCACACUCUAGAGGAUUUUGGUUUUGGUUUAACUAUUGGUUUAGAAUGUUUUGAUACACCUAGCAAAGAAGACAGUCUAUAACUCAUCAAAUGAAAGUAACAACUCAUGCACUACGAUGCGUGCUCCAAUUACAUCCGGCAAAUGGGUUAAGCUAAUAGUAGCUCUAAAAUUGCUGAGAAUAUCAAGGUGCCAUUCCGCCAGAGCAAAAACUCUGAAUAUUGAUUAUCCGAUAGCAACAUUUGGCAUGGAUUAAUGCACACGAAGAGGUGGUGAUGCCCGAUUUUAUCAGGUAGCAAAUCUGAUUGCUUAUUAAAUAGGUCAAAAACUCAAAUAUGAACCUGACAUAUUUACUAAACUAUAUGUAUAAAUAAAAAAUAAUUAACCUAUCAUGGUCCAUAUAAUUCAUUUAUUAAACAGGUCAAGUUAGAUUAAAAAGGUUAAACAAGCUAAACCGAAUUAAUAGGUUAAACGAGUUGGAUUGAAUAGAUUAGAAAUAGGUUAAUCAGAUUUUAAACAAGCUGAAUAUAUUUUAAACAAAUUAAAUAGAUCAGAUUAUAAUCUGACUCAAUUAUUAAAUGAGGUAAUCAUAUCAAAAAUCCAAACAUGAAUUUAACCUGUUUAAUAAAUAGGUCUAAAUGGAUUGAUCUAUUUAUGACCUAAACUCAUUUAUAUUAAACCCUAACCUGCUUAAAAUGGAUUGUUUAUAGAUUGGAUUGAUAGAUUGGGUCAUAAAUUGCUACCCUUAGUAGCAAGAUAAUGUAGGAUACUUUACAUUCAUCUUGGAAGCCUUGAACCAUGAAUCAGAUAGAGUUGAAAUGCAAAAGCUUGCAUCCAUCCUGCUAUGCAAUUUUUUUUGAGCUAGUGUCAUGUCUUAGUUAAUUAGAUCUUGUAAUGUUACAGUAUAAUAGAUAAAUAAAAAAAAUUUGGGAGAAGGUUUCGCUUUAGUCCAUUUGUGGAUCUUAUAAAUAAGUUAUAUGUCAUUUUGUAUCUUAAGGUGUAAUCACUUUUCUUCGUCAGCAUCUAUUUAAUAAACUUUCUCAACGAGCAGAUCGAGCUUCGCCCAAGAUAUCACAUCAUUUAGUUAAGCUUGGAUUGACUUGGCCUAACAUUUAGGCCAACUUCCUAGGCUCAAGCAUGCUACUUAUCGAGCUUCAAGCUUCUUGAUUUCUUAUUCCUAUUCAAAAUCCAAUGAUGGGGAGCAGCUUGGGGGAGAGGACCUCGUGCUAACCAUGGGGCUAGAAAGAGGGGCCCUAGAUCUUGGCAAAGGGCAUGGUAGAUGCCAUGAUUUUCGAUAGUGGUGUGUUAGUCAUGGCUGAAGAGGAUGCUGCUGAGGUGGAGCAUGGCAUAGGGCAUGUUGAUCGGUGUCGAUCUCGAUGAGAUCCAUGUUGAUAUCCCAUUUGUAGAGAAUGGCGAGGGUGGAUUCGGUAGAGAAGAUGAGAGGGAUGAUACGGUCGGCCUCGUCAGUAAUGAUGAUGGAAAGCAUGAAUUGGGGGAGGAAGAGGACGUUGGCAUCGAAGGGCAAGGGACAUCAUAGAGGAAGCAACGACAAAAGCCUAACCAGCAACGAAGACGACAAUGAGCAUGAACUAGUGGAGGAAGAGGGCAUUGAUGUGCAGGAGUAGCGGGACAUAACAGUGGAAGCCUAACCAACCACGAAAGUCGUUGAGGUAGAGAAUGAGCGGGGGAAAGGAGAAGUUUUAGGAGAGUGGGAGGAGGUAGAGGAGAUGAUGGUGGAGAGAAAGCGAAGGGUACUAUAGCUAAAAGAGAACAGGAGACGAGAGGAGGAGACUAGCAAUAACCUUAGCUGCCAUUGCCUCCUUCCUUAAUCAAAGUAGGGCUCAAGUUAUAUAAAAAUAAAAAAUCAAAAUCAAAAUCGGGCUAGAUUGUGGAGCAUGGACUUAGAGCAAAACCAAAACUAAGUUACACAAAAAAAAAAAAAUCAAAAUUGGACAUAGGUUGGUGGGCUUAGAGCUUAUAUGUAAUAUAUAUGUUAUAUAAAUAACUGAGCUCGAACCAGAUCGAUGUAUACACGAGUUUAGCCUUUUUAAUAGGCAGAAUCAAAUUUGAAAUCCGUUCGAGCUCAUUAGACUUAAAAAUGAGUUAAUAUCCAUUCAAAAUAAUAUAAGUUCAGGCAUGUCCAAUAAGCUAGUGGACUUAAACAAAUCUAUUAGUUACUACUAGAGAUCAUUGCAGUUGAGACAAAUCAAGUAGCUAGAGGCUCGAGCUCGACUCGAUUCAAAUUUUUUAAGCUCCAAACUUGAGAUUGAUCAAGCCUUAAUAUCUGAGCUUAAGCUUGACUCGAUUAAAAAAGGAACAAUAUUGAAGAUUAACUCAAAUCAACUCAAAUAUCAACCAAGUCUUACUGGAGCUUGAGUUUGAGUUCUAGCUCGAAUUUGAGCCUUAAUCAUUAUUGACUUUUAAAAGUCAAAAGUUAGAUCAAACUAAAGAAAUAUAAAUAUUAAUUUUAAAAUACUAAAUUAAUAGAGUAAAACAUAAAUUUUUUUUUGAGGUUUACAUUUAUUAUACUUACAUCUAAUAAUUUGUAAAAUCUAUACUUACAUUGAAUUAAAUUAAUGACAUUAGUGAAAUUAUUUAUCUCACCUGAAAAGUUGAAAUUGUCCUUAGGUGGAGAGGACAAUGCACAUAUUUUAUUAUAUCUUUGGUUGGUUGUUAUAUCACUUUACAUUAUUUUGGUUAUUUUUAAAAUUUUCUUUGACAUGGUAUAUGGGUCUCAUAAGAUUAAUUAUUUGCCUAGUGUUCUUUUACAUUAUAAGUUAAAAUGCUUGAUAACAAAAAAUCUCAAAAGGAUAAGUAUAGGUUUUUCAAACUUUUGGAUGCAAGUACAAUUUAUUCCUAAUCUCAAUUAGGCUUUAAUAAUUUACUCAAGUUGAUAAUAUAUAUUAUAAAUAAAAUAUAAAAUUAGUAAAAAUAAUAUAGUAAAUUAGGUUUGCAAGCUUUUGAGCUGAAUAUUUGGCUGUUUGAGCUUUUGACUCAAAUUCGGUGAUAGUUGAAUCAAAAUGAGCUUGGAUUUGAGUCAGCCCAAGUAGUUUGCAUCCCUAAUUUUCACUAGUUUGUACUCUUGUUGAAACUCUAUUUGGCUUGUUUUCUUAAGUUGUUCUUUCUUUAGAUGCCACUUUACACUCUUGUGGAGAACCUCACCAAUAAGUGGUAGGUUGAAACCACAGCCUGGAGGGCAUUUAGGUCGGGUUGGCAGAGGAUCGUGUUGUAUGUCGAUGGGGCUCAGAUGACAAGAUAGUCAAGCUGCACUUUCGUAUGUCGUGAUCGUCAGCCAGCUAUAAUCAAGAGUGUUAUGACCCCCUCAAUAGGAGUUGCAUCCUUUGACAAGCAGGGAAUCAACUUUUGCCAACCAAUUUGAGGAAAAUUUCAUUUUAGAGAAGGCAUUACAAAACAAGAUAUCGACAGAUCUUCUAUUAUUGACUAAGAUGUAGUGUACAUCAUAAUUAUCUAUAUUUAAAGUUACAAUAACCGUAUAAUUAUGCAGAGAUUAAAUUCUCUAUGCAUUUUCAUUGAAGAAGGUGAUGAUGUCUUCGGCCUUUUGCUUCUUGGUCAAUGAUUCUUUUGCCCACCAUUUGUAUACCUUGGUAUGUCUACCGAUUUGCCCCUGAUUAUGGUGCUAAUGACACCCACGGCAGGCCAGUUAUCAAAAUUUCCUUCAAGUUGGGGCUGCUCAGGUCGUGUCUUAUUUCGUUUCUGCCGAUCUCUGAGGUACUUAUCAAGGUGCCUAUGAUUUCGAUGGUACGAUAGUACUUUCUUAGAUCAUGUUGGAUCGAGAGGUUGCACAUCCUCUUCGAUCUUGAUAGCUAUCCAUUGCCCUUGAUUUCCAUUAAGAUCUAGGUCUUGGGGGUGUUCAGGGAAGUAUAAGUGGCAAACCACCUCGGUAGAGAAUGUGACUGCCAACCUCAGGGUAGGGUCCUGGAUCGGUGAGCUCGUGGGAGAGUUCGAGACCUUCACGAACUCCUUCCUCGUCAGUCCUCAUACUUCAGCUUGUCUUUCUUCUUUGAUUCCCUCCUUUUGCUCUAUGGAUCUCCUCUUUAGAGAGCUUCUAUGUAGUUCAUAGGCUUUCUUGGCAUUGGCACAUUUUUCUAUCUGAACUAACAUCUCAACAAAAACCUUUAGAUAUAUCUUCUCUAAAAAAAAAAACUUGUAUUGGCAUAUUUCUCUAUCCAAGCUAACAUCUCAACAAAGGCCUUCAGAUAUACCUUUUCUAAAGGGAAAAGAAACUUGCACUUCAGAAAUCCUCCUUUUCGAGCCGACAUAGCAACUGAUUGAUCAAUGUCAUACUUCUCUAUCUGAGCUAACAUCUUGGCAAAGGCCUUCGGAUAUAUUUUUUUUAAAGAGAAAAGAAACUUGCACUUUAGAAGUCCUUUUCAAGCCGACAUAGUGACUGAUUGAUCAAUGUUAUAUACUUCCAGUGUAGCCGUAUUAAAGUAGCUUACAUAGUACUUGAGGGACUCUCCUUCCCUUUGUUUAAUGCUCACCAAGGAGUCGAACCCACGGUAUUGUCAUUGGCUACUAAUGAAAUGAACUAUGAAUGGCCGGCCUAGUUGCUUGAAGGAGUGGAUUAAGCUUUGCUGCAGGCUUGAGUACCAAUACCGAGCUACCUUUUGUAGGUUGGAAGAGAAAGCUUGGUAGAAGAUUCCAUCAGUUGCCCCAUAUAAGAGCAUGAGUACCUUGAAGCUUUCCAAAUGAUUCAUUGGGUUGGUCGCUCCAUCGUACACUUCAGCUAUGGCAUUUUGAAGUUGUGUGAGAUUGGUUCAUCCAUAAUUUUUCUACUGAUCAAGAGUAUGUGACAUUAAUGUUGAUCUCCCUAUCUUGUGCUAUCGCUUGACCCCAUAGUGCAUCGAUCUACCAGUGCAUCUCCUGGAGCUUGUGAUCUACAUUGACAUCUCAGGUGGUAUAGUAUUGGGAGUGCUGAGGUGGCGAUCUCCUUGUGGGGGUUCUUUUCCCGACUGAGGGGUCAACGAACACCUUUGAUGACCCAUUCCGAACUCCUUGGUUGGCUAUGCCGAUUCUGCUACGCUCGAUUUAAAUGCAGGAAGGCAGCUGAGAUUGCUAGUAUUGCUGAUGUACUUGUUGCAGACUCAGCUAUGGGGUUGUGGCCGCCUGCUGGAUUGCUUGGAUGACUAUCGUUAGAGUUUGAGCCUACUAUAUAUAUAAGCAGAUUGAAUUAUUCGGAGGUCACCCUUGGAGCCUACUGAGGGGAUGGAGGUUGAUUCUCAGGUCAUGGAGGUGGUGCCUCAACUUGGGGCGAUACCUUGGUCGGUUGGGACUGCACCUCGGUUGGAUGAGGUACAGUUUUGUUGGACCAUCGUGAGACGUUUGAUCUUCCUCUCUAUGAUCUCAUGCUUGCAAACUUUUCUUCACUUCUGAGCAGGUCUGGAUGCUUCUUCUAGUGCCAAUUUAUUAUUAUUGGCAACCAACUUGGCACUGGAAUGGACAGAUCUGGGAUAGUUAGAGCUUGAUUUUAUAUCGAUGAGAGAGAACCUACAAAUCAAGUUCUUAACCAAAGUUGUUUUUCAUGAGAACCCUUCGAUGCUUUAGUCAAUCACCAGAGUACAGUAGAAAGAAAAAAGAGAGUUUUAUAUGCGAGCUUAUCUGGAUGUCCCUUAUGCCCUCUUAUUCAGAGGUGAGGUGACCGGUUAGCUAAUUUUGCAAGAAAGGACAUGAGUGGUAAAAAGGAUCGUAUUUCUUCUAUCUUAUCUGGCUAUGAUGAGUUGUUUUCCGUUUGAUUUGAAAUAUAUCUAGAAUGUAAGAUAAAUUAAGCAAUUACUGAUCAACCAACAACCAUCGUUGCAAUCAACAACCGUCGUUGCAAAUCUCGGCUUUUUAUCUUGGCUCGAUAUGACCCGAUCCGAUUAGGUCAGCAGACAGCCAAGUUUCAAAUAGCAUCAGAUAUAGUUGAGAUAAACUAUUAUCCCAUAUCAAUUACCAAAUAUUUAGUACCGUUUUUCUCUUCUCAUACCAAAUUAUCUGUGGUCCAAAGUGGAUCAGGUUCGAUCAAUAAUUUCUCACAAAAAUGUGGCUAGGAGUUGCCCGUUGGCUUAAAUAACCGUUGUUUUUGGUCGAUCGAUCUGAUCCACUGGUUCUGUUGGCAACGGUCCCACCGCGACCACGAACCCAGGCCACGUGCAUAUUAUCCGUGUAGAUUCCCUCGCAUCUCGCACCUCAUGUUUCUCUAUCUUCCCGAGGGACUCCGCUCAUCCCGCGGCAAGGGCCCAGCCAUCACCAUCAACUUUGCCAAGGGUUGGCACCAGUGGGCGCCCACAAGUAAUUAGACCCCGCGAGGCCGUCUAUUUAGGCCCCGCCAUCAUUACGGCUUGCGACACGCAAAACUCUUCUCGGAGCCCGAAGACACCAAUAGGGAUGGUAGAAGAGCGCCUCCACAUAGCCAUGCUCCCAUGGCUGGCCUUCGGCCACAUGAUCCCUUUCCUCCACCUCGCCGUCGCUUUGGCUACCGCCGGCCUCCGCGUCUCCUUCCUCUCCACCCCUCGAAACAUCCAACGCCUUCCCAAAAUACCCCCCCACCUAACCUCGCUCAUCACCUUCAUCCAGCUCCCCUUGCCCCGCGUCGACGGCCUCCCCGACCAAGCCGAGGCCACCGUUGACCUCCCCACCGAUGAGGUCCCGCUCCUGAAGAUCGCGUACGAC
RNAcentral lists this long non-coding RNA (8382 nucleotides) under Elaeis guineensis (African oil palm). Its description in RNAcentral is "long non-coding RNA (EGUI_LNC027105)". Lineage: Eukaryota; Viridiplantae; Streptophyta; Magnoliopsida; Arecales; Arecaceae. The record is from RNAcentral.